This 285-nucleotide small nuclear RNA is filed under the name Chinchilla lanigera (long-tailed chinchilla). RNAcentral's name for it is "7SK RNA (ENSCLAG00000021584.1)". It matches the Rfam family "7SK RNA". From Rfam's summary of the family: 7SK was discovered as an abundant small nuclear RNA in the mid-70s but a possible function has only recently been suggested. The record is from Rfam by way of RNAcentral. Lineage: Eukaryota; Metazoa; Chordata; Mammalia; Rodentia; Chinchillidae.
CGAUGUGAGGGCGAUCUGGCUGUGGACAUCUGUCACCCCACUGAUCCUCAGGGUUGAUUCCGCUGAUCUGGAUGGCGCAGCGGGUGUCCCAGUCGUCAAUGCUCCAUGUGUACCCCUCCCAAAGCUGCGUGCUUCGUGGAAGAGGAUCAUCUGGAUAGAGGAGAACCGUUCCUUCACCCAGGGUACAUAAGUAGCUGGGUCCCCACCCCUAGAACCUCCAAACAAGCUCUGAAAACUACUCUCACAUUUUAAACUUUUUGACUACUUAUUAAACUACCUUUGAAA